AUGUUGGCUUAGAAGCAGCCAUUCAUUUAAAGAGUGCGUAACAGCUCACUCGUCAAGAGAUCUUGCGCGGAAAAUGUAACGGGGCUAAAGUAUAUUACCGAAGAUAUGGAUGCACAAUUUAUUGUGCGUGGUAGAGGAGCGUUCCUCUCAGCAACGAAGUAGAGUCGCGAGGCUCUGUGGAGCGUGAGGAAGUGAGAAUGUUGGAAUAAGUAACUUUAAGACAGGUGAGAAUCCUGUCCACCGAAAGAGCAAGGUUUCCUGGGCCAUGAUAAUCAUCCCAGGGUUAGUCGGGCCUAAGCCGAGGCGAGUAGCGUAGGCGAUGGACAACGGGUUAAUAUUCCCGUACCGGCUAUAUAUUGUUUAUAGUGCGCGGUAUAUUAGCAGAAGCGGAUUCAUGGUUAUAUCCGUCUAACUACUAGAAAUAGGUAGGAAUGAAACGGUCUUUAUUGACUGAAUUUCUGUAAAAGUACUGACUAGAAAAGCUUAUAAACUUAUGUAUAUAGUCGCCCGUACCGCAAACCGACACAGGUGCUCAGGUCGAGUAGACCAAGGUGUACGAGUGAUUCUUCGUCAAGGAACUCGGCAAACAAGCGACCGUAACUUCGGGAUAAGGUCUGCCCCGUCACAAUGUCUAUGAAUAGUGACUAGCCAGUUUUCUUUAGAAAACGAGUAAAAAAGUCUUACAAUUUAUUACUUUUAUUGUAAGCAACGAGCAAAGUAUCAAAGAAAGCUGACCCCAAGUAAUCACAUAUCGUGGUAGAUAUUGUGACGGGGCCGCAGCUAAGGAACCCAUGCAACUGUUUACCAAAAACACAGGUCUCUGCUAACACGAAAGUGGAUGUAUAGGGGCUGACUCCUGCCCGGUGCUGGAAGGUUAAGGCGAGUGCUUCACGGUGCGAACUGAAGCCCCAGUGAACGGCGGCGGUAACUAUAACCGUCCUAAGGUGAAAUCGUUGCCUUAGUAAAAUCUGGCCAUAUGCUGGAACAUCUGAGUAUCGAACUGUACUAUGGUAUAAUUAUUCCUUAUAUGGAAGAUUAUAUUUCAAGUGAAAAUCAGUUUCGUGCAGACAAUCAGCAGGAAAGACUCUUGAGCAAUCAAGAGAAUCCUCAGAGACUACACGCCAGACCCCUUAUAAAAAAAAGGGUGAAGAUAUAGUCCGACCUUUAUGGCGACAUAAAGAUCCAUACGAGAAAUCGGUGGACGCCAUUUAAUAUUUAAAUGGUUAUUAAAGUAACAGAGCGAGCGAAAUUCCUUGUCAGGUAAGUUCUGACCCGCACGAAUGGAGUAAUGAUAUGGGUACUGUCUCGACGAAGAGCUCGGUGAAAGUGCAUUGGCGGUAAAGAUGCCGUCUGUCCGCAUCAGGACGAAAAGACCCUGUGCAGCUUUACUACAGCUUGACAUUGAAUCGAGUUACAACAUGUGUAGGAUAGGUGGGAGACUUUGAAGCUUAGACGCUAGUCUAGGUGGAGUCAUCCGUGAAAUACCACCCUUGUUGUGAUUUUAUUCUUACUCAAACCGUUAUCCGGUUUGAGGACCGUGUCUGGUGGGUAGUUUAACUGGGGCGGUUGCCUCCUAAAGAGUAGCGGAGGCGUUCAAAGGUUGGCUAACUACGGAUGGAAAUCGUAGUGGUAGUGCAUGCGCAUAAGCCAGCUUGACUGUGAGGAAUACAAUCCAAGCAGGUACGAAAGUAGGAGCAAGUGACCCGCUGUCCUUACAUUUUUAUGUAAAUGAACGUGGGAUCGGCAGCGCAAACGGAUAAAAGUUACGCCAGGGAUAACAGGCUUAUAGCGCCCAAUAGUUCACAUAGACGGCGCUGUUUGGCACCUCGAUGUCGGCUCAUCUCAUCCUGGAGGGGAAGCACCUUCCAAGGGUCGGGCUGUUCGCCCGUUAAAGAGGUACGUGAGCUGGGUUCAGAACGUAAAUUACAUUGCGUUCUACCACUGAGAAGUGGUAAAAUACUAGUGUACAUCGCAUUAAUAGUAUUAAAUCUGACUGAAAUCGGUGAAACCCGACUAGAACAUUAUCGAACGGUUCUAAGGGCAAUACCGAGGGAAGAAGAGAAAAAUGUCUGACGAAGUCGCAGCAUAUAUUGCUGGUUUUCUAGAUGGUGACGGCUCUAUCAUGGCACAACUUGUUCGUCGUAAAGAUUACAAGUUGGGCUAUCAGAUAAGAGUUAGUAUUGUUUUUUAUCAAAAGCAAAGUCACAAUGAAAUCCUCUUUUGGCUAAAAGAGCAACUGAAAUUUGGCUAUAUUCGUAACCGAAAUGACGGUAUGACCGAAUAUACCAUUGUAGGUUUAAGUGAAGUAGAACAGACAUUACAACUACUUCAUGACAAACUUCGUCUAAAGAAAUCUCUCGCUCAAGAUGUAUUACAACUGAUCAAGGUGCAUCCUAAAAAGAUGACACCAGAGAAGUUGUUAAAACUUGCGAAAUUGGUCGAUAAAACUGCAGAGUUUAAUUAUUCCAAAAAACGCACCAAUACAUCAGAAGUAGUGAUUGAAUUCUUGAAAAGCAAAAAUCUCUUCCCUGUAGAGACUUCAAUCCGCCAGCCGGCGGAUUGGGAUAGCUGAUCCUAUCUCGAUUUAUCGGGAUAAAUAUAUGACAGCUAUAAAACGUCAGCUCCUAACCCGAGUCUGUUUCGGGAAGGAAGAAGAUAUAGUCCGUGCCAUCAGUAAUGGUGGAAAAAGUUUUGAGAUUUGAACACCUCAGAACUUCACGCGUGAGACAGUUCGGUUUAUAUCCGAUGUGGACGCAAGGAAACUUGAGAGAAGCUGUUCGUAGUACGAGAGGACCCGAAUGGACGCACCGCUGGUGUACCAAUUGUCAUACCAAUGGCAUUGUUGGGUAGCUAUGUGCGGAAUAGAUAAGCGCUGAAAGCAUAUUAAGCGCGAAGCUAGUCUCGAGAUUAGGUUUCCCUAUGAGGGCCCUGAUAGACUAUCAGGUUGAUAGGUGCAAGGUGUACGCACAGUAAUGUGUUCAGCCAAAGCAUACUAAUAGCCCCAUUGACUUCUUAUU
This 3017-nucleotide non-coding RNA is filed under the name Candidatus Saccharibacteria bacterium RIFCSPHIGHO2_12_FULL_41_12. RNAcentral describes it as "partial 23S ribosomal RNA". It matches the Rfam family "Bacterial large subunit ribosomal RNA", at positions 1098 to 2919 of the family's 2925-position model. Lineage: Bacteria; Candidatus Saccharimonadota. The record is from RNAcentral.